This 154-nucleotide antisense RNA is filed under the name Xenorhabdus szentirmaii DSM 16338. RNAcentral's name for it is "HPnc0260". It matches the Rfam family "Bacterial antisense RNA HPnc0260". The record is from RNAcentral. Lineage: Bacteria; Pseudomonadati; Pseudomonadota; Gammaproteobacteria; Enterobacterales; Morganellaceae.
UGUUGACAAUUCAUCAUUUUUGAAAAUAUAGGGAUGUGAUGGUGAAGCAGAUUAGUGAUAAUGGAGAAGGAAGUAAAUAGUUAAGAAGGUAUUAGUGAUGAGAAACUUUGAUUUAUGGUGCGUCCGAGUGGACUCGAACCACCGACCCCCACCA